UCAGGAUGAACGCUAGCGGCGUGCCUAACACAUGCAAGUCGAACGGAGUUCUUAAGGAAUGCGGCUUCGGUCAAAUGACUUUGAACUUAGUGGCGGACGGGUGAGUAACGCGUGAGCAACCUGCCUUUCAGAGGGGGAUAACAUUUGGAAACAGAUGCUAAUACCGCAUAAGAUUACAGUACCGCAUGAUACAGUGAUCAAAGGAGCAAUCCGCUGAAAGAUGGGCUCGCGUCCGAUUAGAUAGUUGGUGAGGUAACGGCUCACCAAGUCGACGAUCGGUAGCCGGGACUGAGAGGUUGAACGGCCCACAUUGGGACUGAGACACGGCCCAGACUCCUACGGGAGGCAGCAGUGGGGAAUAUUGCACAAUGGGCGAAAGCCUGAUGCAGCAACGCCGCGUGAGGGAAGACGGUUUUCGGAUUGUAAACCUCUGUUUUCGGUGACGAACAAAUGACGGUAACCGAGUAGGAAGCCACGGCUAACUACGUG
This 489-nucleotide ribosomal RNA is filed under the name uncultured bacterium. Its description in RNAcentral is "bacterial SSU rRNA". It matches the Rfam family "Bacterial small subunit ribosomal RNA", at positions 24 to 507 of the family's 1533-position model. The record is from RNAcentral.